RNAcentral lists this ribosomal RNA (304 nucleotides) under Escherichia coli. RNAcentral's name for it is "partial 16S ribosomal RNA". It matches the Rfam family "Bacterial small subunit ribosomal RNA", at positions 1 to 299 of the family's 1533-position model. The record is from RNAcentral. Lineage: Bacteria; Pseudomonadati; Pseudomonadota; Gammaproteobacteria; Enterobacterales; Enterobacteriaceae.
UUAAAUUGAAGAGUUUGAUCAUGGCUCAGAUUGAACGCUGGCGGCAGGCCUAACACAUGCAAGUCGAACGGUAACAGGAAGAAGCUUGCUUCUUUGCUGACGAGUGGCGGACGGGUGAGUAAUGUCUGGGAAACUGCCUGAUGGAGGGGGAUAACUACUGGAAACGGUAGCUAAUACCGCAUAACGUCGCAAGACCAAAGAGGGGGACCUUCGGGCCUCUUGCCAUCGGAUGUGCCCAGAUGGGAUUAGCUUGUUGGUGGGGUAACGGCUCACCAAGGCGACGAUCCCUAGCUGGUCUGAGAGG